AACGAACGCUGGCGGCGUGCCUAACACAUGCAAGUCGAACGAGACCUUCGGGUCUCGUGGCGCACGGGUGCGUAACGCGUGGGAACCUGCCCUUAGGUUCGGAAUAACUCCCCGAAAGGGGUGCUAAUACCGGAUAAUGUCUUCGGACCAAAGAUUUAUCGCCUUUGGAUGGGCCCGCGUUGGAUUAGCUAGUUGGUAGGGUAAAAGCCUACCAAGGCGACGAUCCAUAGCUGGUCUGAGAGGAUGAUCAGCCACACUGGGACUGAGACACGGCCCAGACUCCUACGGGAGGCAGCAGUGGGGAAUAUUGGACAAUGGGCGAAAGCCUGAUCCAGCAAGGCCGCGUGAGUGAUGAAGUCCUGAGGGUUGUAAAGCUCUUUUACCCGGGAUGAUAAUGACAGUACCGGGAGAAUAAGCACCGGCUAACUCCGUG
This 433-nucleotide ribosomal RNA is filed under the name uncultured bacterium. RNAcentral describes it as "partial 16S ribosomal RNA". It matches the Rfam family "Bacterial small subunit ribosomal RNA", at positions 29 to 507 of the family's 1533-position model. The record is from RNAcentral.